This is a long non-coding RNA of Oryza sativa Japonica Group (Japanese rice), 804 nucleotides long. RefSeq lists it as uncharacterized. Lineage: Eukaryota; Viridiplantae; Streptophyta; Magnoliopsida; Poales; Poaceae. The record is from RefSeq and is a predicted model, not a curated record.
CUAACCAUCUGCUUGUUCGCGCGAGUGAAAAAAAAUCCUCAUCCACUGUUACUCUGUUCGAUCCCCAUUUCCUCCGCCUCAGAUCCCCAAUUCCUCUCUUCGUCGCUCCGCUCGAUCCCCAAAUUCUCCCACAGCGCAUGCACUGGAUCCCCAAUUUCUCCGACGAUUGCUCCUCCCGUGGCUGCGCCAACGUCGCUGCUCCUCCCGGCCUCCCCUCCUUCGGCUGUGACCUCGCUGUGCCGUGGCUUCGGUGCCACGUUGCCGCGCGCGGCCUCACCCAUCGAUGACGCUGCAUGCGCGAACUACUCCGGCCGCGACGCUGCCGACGCGUGCUUCUCUGUCUCGUCUGCGCCACAAACUUGAAGCUGCUCUCAACCAUCAGCACCUACUAGACGGUCACCGCCCUCAACUUCGCCUACAUCGUCCGUGAGUUCUGCGUUAGAGACAAGGUGGAGAAAAAAAACAGAUUGGUCAUGGAUGGAAGGAAAACCAUCAACACCAACUAGAUCCAUGUGAAAAGGCAGCAGAAGAAUGCUGGAGGAAGACAACGGCUAGGGGACCAAAUGAGCAACUCAAAUGGAAUAGCAGCAACGGCUAGUAGUACUCGUUACUGUGUUUAGUAACUGACAUGUAUAUUUUAUUGGUGUGCACAGAAAAACAGUAAAGGUAUUGUAUUUUAUAGCUUUGUUGCUACACCUUAAGCUUAAGGUGUACUUUGGUUGCAUCGGACUUGUGGUCUGACUCCACAAUGCUAAAUGCGUUGUACUGUAGCAGUAUUUAAUGUCUAAGGUUACUUUCAGUGUA